GAUGAACGCUAGCGAUAGGCUUAACACAUGCGAGUCGAGGGGCAGCAUGGUCUUAGCUUGCUAAGACUGAUGGCGACCGGCGCACGGGUGCGUAACGCGUAUGCAACUUGCCUCACAGAGGGGGAUAACCCGUCGAAAGACGGACUAAUACCGCGUACACUCCAUCUUGGGCAUCCAAGGUAGAGGAAAUGAAAUUCGCUGUGAGAUAGGCAUGCGUCCCAUUAGCUAGUUGGUGAGGUAACGGCUCACCAAGGCGACGAUGGGUAGGGGAACUGAGAGGUUGAACCCCCACACUGGUACUGAGACACGGACCAGACUCCUACGGGAGGCAGCAGUGAGGAAUAUUGGUCAAUGGGCGAGAGCCUGAACCAGCCAAGUCGCGUGAAGGAUGACUGUCUUAUGGAUUGUAAACUUCUUUUAUACGGGAAUAACAAGAGUCACGUGUGACUCCCUGCAUGUACCGUAUGAAUAAGCAUCGGCUAACUCCGU
RNAcentral lists this ribosomal RNA (489 nucleotides) under uncultured bacterium. Its description in RNAcentral is "partial 16S ribosomal RNA". It matches the Rfam family "Bacterial small subunit ribosomal RNA", at positions 28 to 506 of the family's 1533-position model. The record is from RNAcentral.